This 1542-nucleotide ribosomal RNA is filed under the name Triticum aestivum (bread wheat). RNAcentral describes it as "partial small subunit ribosomal RNA". The record is from RNAcentral. Lineage: Eukaryota; Viridiplantae; Streptophyta; Magnoliopsida; Poales; Poaceae.
AUGGACCCCAAGUCCCCCGACGACCGCCCGGAGGCGGCGGCGCCACAGCCGCUAGAGUGGCGGUUCGCGCAGGUCUUCGGCGAGCGCGGUGCUGGCGAGGACGUGCAGGAAGUUGACAUCAUUUCUGCAAUCGAGUUUGACAAAUCUGGUGAUCAUCUUGCCACUGGUGAUAGGGGUGGACGCGUAGUUUUGUUUGAAAGAACUGAUGCCAGGGGUAAUGCCAGUCGGACAGAGCUUGAGAGACAAGAUUAUUCGGUGCCCAGGCAUCCUGAGUUCCGCUAUAAAACUGAAUUUCAGAGUCAUGAACCUGAGUUCGAUUACCUAAAGAGUUUGGAAAUAGAGGAGAAAAUCAACAAGAUCAAGUGGGGCCAAACAGCCAACAAUGCUCUCUUUAUCUUGUCUACAAAUGACAAAACAAUCAAGUACUGGAAGGUGCAAGACAAAAAAGUGAAACGGAUUUCAGUAAUGAAUUUGGAUACUUCCCAGAGUGCAGACAAUGGGACAACUUCUAGUUCGAGUACCAGUAGCUCUAGAGGUCUUCCUAAUGGAGGAUCCUCAGAAAAGUCAUACAAUUGUGCAAACAAUGAUCUGCCAUUCCCUCCUGGGGGAUAUGCAUCAUUGCGUUUGCCUGUGGUAGUUGUUACAGGCCAAGAGUUAAACCCUGUCGCUAGAUGCCGGCGUGUAUAUGCACACGCCCAUGAUUACCAUAUCAAUUCCAUUUCAAAUAAUAGUGAUGGCGAGACAUUCAUAUCAGCAGAUGAUCUGCGAAUUAAUCUGUGGAAUUUGGAAAUCAACAGUCAGAGCUUUAACAUUGUUGAUGUGAAGCCUGCAAACAUGGAGGAUCUAACUGAGGUGAUUACAUGUGCGGAGUUCCAUCCAACUCACUGUAAUACACUAGCCUAUAGUAGCUCAAAGGGCGCUAUCAGGCUUAUUGACCUGCGGCAAUCAGCACUGUGUGACAACCAUUCUAAACUAUUUGAGGAGCAUGAAGCACCUGGAUCAAAAUCCUUUUUUACGGAGAUAAUUGCAUCCGUUUCAGAUAUAAAGUUUGCAAGGGAUGGACGGCAUAUUCUUAGUCGUGAUUAUAUGACUCUCAAGUUAUGGGAUCUCAACAUGGAUUCAGGCCCAGUAGCAACUUUCCAAGUUCAUGAACAUUUAAGGCCUAAGCUUUGCGAUCUAUAUGAAAACGAUUCAAUCUUUGACAAAUUUGAAUGUUGUCUGAGUGGGGAUGGUCAUCGUCUUGCUACUGGCUCUUACAGUAAUUUAUUCCGUGUUUUUGGUUGUACUCCUGGAAAUACUGAGGCAACCACUUUAGAAGCAAGCAGAAACCCUAUGAGGCGUCAGGUUGCUAAUCCAACAAGGCCUACAAGAACCCUGACCUCUUUGACCCGUGCUGUGAGGAGAGGGGGUGAAAAUGCAGGAGCCGAUGGCAAUGGGAAUUCUAAUGACUUCUCAACAAAGUUACUCCAUCUUGCGUGGCACCCAACUGAGGAUUCCAUUGCGUGUGCUGCUGGGAAUAGCUUGUACAUGUAUUAUGCAUAG